GUAGGGAAUCUUCCACAAUGGACGAAAGUCUGAUGGAGCAACGCCGCGUGAGUGAAGAAGGUCUUCGGAUCGUAAAACUCUGUUGUUAGAGAAGAACGUGCAUGAUAGUAACUGAUCAUGUAAUGACGGUAUCUAACCAGAAAGCCACGGCUAACUACGUGCCAGCAGCCGCGGUAAUACGUAGGUGGCAAGCGUUGUCCGGAUUUAUCGGGCGUAAAGGGAACGCAGGGGGUUGUUUAAGUCGGAUGUGAAAGCCUUCGGCUUAACCGAAGAAUAGCAUUGGAAACUGGAAGACUGGAGUGCAGAAGAGGAGAGUGGAAUUCCAUGUGUAGCGGUGAAAUGCGUAGAUAUAUGGAGGAACACCAGUGGCGAAAGCGGCUCUCUGGUCUGUAACUGACGCUGAGGUUCGAAAGCGUGGGUAGCAAACAGGAUUAGAAACCCGUGUAGUCC
RNAcentral lists this ribosomal RNA (450 nucleotides) under uncultured bacterium. RNAcentral's name for it is "partial 16S ribosomal RNA". It matches the Rfam family "Bacterial small subunit ribosomal RNA", at positions 354 to 796 of the family's 1533-position model. The record is from RNAcentral.